This 460-nucleotide ribosomal RNA is filed under the name uncultured bacterium. RNAcentral describes it as "partial 16S ribosomal RNA". It matches the Rfam family "Bacterial small subunit ribosomal RNA", at positions 338 to 795 of the family's 1533-position model. The record is from RNAcentral.
CCUACGGGGGGCAGCAGUGAGGAAUAUUGGUCAAUGGACGAGAGUCUGAACCAGCCAAGUAGCGUGAAGGAUGACUGCCCUAUGGGUUGUAAACUUCUUUUAUAAAGGAAUAAAACGAGGCACGUGUGCCUUUUUGCAUGUACUUUAUGAAUAAGGCUCGGCUAACUCCGUGCCAGCAGCCGCGGUAAUACGGAGGAGUCGAGCGUUAUCCGGAUUUAUUGGGUUUAAAGGGAGCGUAGAUGGGUUGUUAAGUCAGUUGUGAAAGUUUGCGGCUCAACCGUAAAAGUGCAAUUGAUACUGGCAGUCGUGAGUACAGUUGAGGUAAGCGGAAUUCGUGGUGUAGCGGUGAAAUGCUUAGAUAUCACGAAGAACCCCGAUUGCGAAGGCAGCUUACUAAACUGUGACUGACAUUGAUGCUCGAAAGUGUGGGUAUCAAACAGGAUUAGAUACCCUGGUAGUC